This 1114-nucleotide long non-coding RNA is filed under the name Arabidopsis thaliana (thale cress). RNAcentral's name for it is "long non-coding RNA (ATHA_LNC000272)". Lineage: Eukaryota; Viridiplantae; Streptophyta; Magnoliopsida; Brassicales; Brassicaceae. The record is from RNAcentral.
AUUCCAUGAAAAACUUUCCAUACUCGCUAUUCCAUGUUCCGUCUCUCCUGAAAAAUUCAGUAUCUUCUGGGAGGUUCUUGUACUCGCCGGCAUCAUGAGGUCCACUUGUUCCCCAGUUAGUUUUCCCGAUUGACUCAGCAUAUGCUUGAAGUGACGAUUUCAUAUACUGCAAUCAACAAGUAUCAUUUCUUAGAAGAAGCAAAUGGAGUAUAAGUAAGCAUAAGUAUACAUGAUCUUCUCUGGUAUAUGUCUAAUCUCUUGACUAGUGUUCUUAUGAAUUUCAAGGCUUUUUCUGCUAGUUUAAAAUACCUUGUCGUAGCACUGGAACUCUCCAAUUCCGGGGAAUCUCCAGGUCCCGUUGCUCUCAGGGUAUGAUGGGUAUCUCAAUUCUCCACAAGGUCCCAUUCCUACUUGAAUUUCCUGCAAUACAUAAAAUGAUGAUCCAAUUAGCUUAGGUCCCUGUAUUGCUCAUGUCUGAAGUUAAUUCGUUUCCUUUGUAGUCUAAAUUUCUGCUUACCGCAAUAACUCCUCCUAUGUAGCCUUCAAAUCGUUCACGGAAGCUCCUCAUGAAAUCUGAGUAGACCUGGAUAGGUGUUCUUCCUCUUAGGACAGGCACAGAAUCACAUCCCAAGGAGAUAUAUUCAGGGUUCCUUCUCCCAGAUUUGUCUGUGUAGACAAGAUCAGGGUUCUUGCUGAUCUCUUCAAGCACCCAUGGAGGCAAGGGGAUACUAGAUUGGAAGAGAGAGAACCAUAUAGAGCAUUAAUAAGCUAGAAAUGAGAGACAGAGAUUUUACUCAAAGGGAAGAAACUAAAGUUGCUUCAUUACCUGCAAGAGUCUCCUACGUUUCCUCCACAUUGAUGGAAUGACAUAACGACCUGGAGUUUGAGACCGUGCUUUUGAACCAUCUGUAUAAGCUCGGCAUAGCCUUCCCAGUUAUAAUUCAUAGGUCCAUCUUUCUCCACCAAUCCCCACCAAGCAUCCACCAUCACACCUUCCACACCAGCUCCUUUCAGGGCCAUCAAACUAGCGUUCAUGGCUCGUGGUUUGUUCAAAUGCCCUGACAUUGUUACUGUGUCGAGCGGUAACAUGACGAACACCGGAACGCUAGCGUCG